Pestalotiopsis sp. NC0098 is the source of this 74-nucleotide non-coding RNA. The record is from the annotation of a GenBank genome assembly. NCBI's taxonomy places the organism in Eukaryota, Fungi, Ascomycota, Sordariomycetes, Amphisphaeriales, Sporocadaceae.
GCCCUAUUAGAGCAGUGGUUUAGCUCGCUGGUCUCCGGAGCCAGAUGUCGCGGGUUCGAAUCUCGCAUAGGGUU